Molecule: ribosomal RNA, 715 nt
Filed under: Flavobacterium sp. 01xTSA12A_F09
Lineage: Bacteria; Pseudomonadati; Bacteroidota; Flavobacteriia; Flavobacteriales; Flavobacteriaceae
Description: bacterial SSU rRNA
Rfam family: Bacterial small subunit ribosomal RNA
Source: RNAcentral
AGAGGGAUAGCCCAGAGAAAUUUGGAUUAAUACCUCAUAGUAUUAUAGAAUGGCAUCAUUUUAUAAUUAAAGUCACAACGGUAAAAGAUGAGCAUGCGUCCCAUUAGCUAGUUGGUAAGGUAACGGCUUACCAAGGCUACGAUGGGUAGGGGUCCUGAGAGGGAGAUCCCCCACACUGGUACUGAGACACGGACCAGACUCCUACGGGAGGCAGCAGUGAGGAAUAUUGGACAAUGGGCGCAAGCCUGAUCCAGCCAUGCCGCGUGCAGGAUGACGGUCCUAUGGAUUGUAAACUGCUUUUAUACGAGAAGAAACACUCCUUCCUGAAGGGGCUUGACGGUAUCCUAAGAAUAAGGAUCGGCUAACUCCGUGCCAGCAGCCGCGGUAAUACGGAGGAUCCAAGCGUUAUCCGGAAUCAUUGGGUUUAAAGGGUCCGUAGGCGGUUUAAUAAGUCAGUGGUGAAAGCCCAUCGCUCAACGGUGGAACGGCCAUUGAUACUGUUAGACUUGAAUUAUUAGGAAGUAACUAGAAUAUGUAGUGUAGCGGUGAAAUGCUUAGAGAUUACAUGGAAUACCAAUUGCGAAGGCAGGUUACUACUAAUUGAUUGACGCUGAUGGACGAAAGCGUGGGUAGCGAACAGGAUUAGAUACCCUGGUAGUCCACGCCCUAAACGAUGGAUACUAGCUGUUGGGAGCAAUCUCAGUGGCUAAGCGAA